GGGUAUAUAGCUCAGUGGUGGAGCGUGUACUUAGCAUAUGUGAGAUCCUGGGUUCAAUCCCCAGUAUCUCCA
RNAcentral lists this transfer RNA (72 nucleotides) under Camelus bactrianus (Bactrian camel). It matches the Rfam family "tRNA". Rfam says of the family: Transfer RNA (tRNA) molecules are approximately 80 nucleotides in length. Their secondary structure includes four short double-helical elements and three loops (D, anti-codon, and T loops). Lineage: Eukaryota; Metazoa; Chordata; Mammalia; Artiodactyla; Camelidae. RNAcentral also lists the same sequence under 2 other names. The record is from Rfam by way of RNAcentral.